UGGGGAAUAUUGGACAAUGGGGGGAACCCUGAUCCAGCAAUGCCGCGUGUGUGAAGAAGGCCUGAGGGUUGUAAAGCACUUUCGGUGGGGAGGAGGUUAGAUUGGUUAAGAGCUGGUUUAAUGGACGUUACCCACAGAAGAAGCACCGGCUAACUCCGUGCCAGCAGCCGCGGUAAUACGGAGGGUGCGAGCGUUAAUCGGAAUUACUGGGCGUAAAGGGUGCGUAGGUUGUUGUAUAAGUUAGCUGUGAAAUUCCUGGGCUCAACCUGGGGUUGUCAGCUAAGACUGUAUGACUAGAGUAUAGUAGAGGGUAGUGGAAUUUCCGGUGUAGCGGUGAAAUGCGUAGAGAUCGGAAGGAACACCGGUGGCGAAGGCGGCUACCUGGACUGAUACUGACACUGAGGCACGAAAGCGUGGGGAGCAAACAGGAUUAGAUACCCGCGUAGUCC
RNAcentral lists this ribosomal RNA (449 nucleotides) under uncultured bacterium. RNAcentral's name for it is "bacterial SSU rRNA". It matches the Rfam family "Bacterial small subunit ribosomal RNA", at positions 355 to 796 of the family's 1533-position model. The record is from RNAcentral.